This 27-nucleotide non-coding RNA is filed under the name Mus musculus (house mouse). The record is from RNAcentral. Lineage: Eukaryota; Metazoa; Chordata; Mammalia; Rodentia; Muridae.
UACAAACCCGUGAAGCACGGCCGGCCC